UUUCAUUUGUGUUGCUGAAUUUCGAAGAGUGAUGGUGGGAGUGUGUGUGGUGGGGGCAGUAUCAACCUCAUCCUUCCCUUGACCGAGACCUUUCACUGCUCCUGGACUUUCAGGGUGUGCUAUCCUUUGCCUCCCCCCAACAACCUGUCUGCUGCCCUAAAAAAAAAAUUAAAAAAAAAAAAGACGGCAACCUAACCGGAGCAUCUCUGGGACGCCACAGAAAUCGUAACUGAACACCCGCACACAAAAGUAAUCUGUGAGGUGUGUUUUAAAGAAAGAAACAGCUGAAAACUUGAAGACGUGUUUAGAAAUAUACAUAUAUACACACUAUUUUCUUGUGGGAGAUCUCCUUUGGGCAAAGGUAUACAAAUGCUCUCAGUCCAGCCAGACACCAAGCCGAAAGGUUGUGCUGGCUGCAACCGAAAGAUCAAGGACCGGUAUCUUCUAAAGGCACUGGACAAAUACUGGCAUGAAGACUGCCUGAAGUGUGCCUGCUGUGACUGUCGCUUGGGAGAGGCUCUUUGGUGUAACGGGAAACUGCGCUGCCUG
Molecule: long non-coding RNA, 549 nt
Filed under: Homo sapiens (human)
Lineage: Eukaryota; Metazoa; Chordata; Mammalia; Primates; Hominidae
Description: non-protein coding lnc-LMO3-1:1
Source: RNAcentral